Molecule: ribosomal RNA, 1385 nt
Filed under: Cordyceps farinosa
Lineage: Eukaryota; Fungi; Ascomycota; Sordariomycetes; Hypocreales; Cordycipitaceae
Description: SSU rRNA
Rfam family: Eukaryotic small subunit ribosomal RNA
Source: RNAcentral
UGCAUGUCUAAGUAUAAGCAAUUAUACAGCGAAACUGCGAAUGGCUCAUUAUAUAAGUUAUCGUUUAUUUGAUAGUGCCUUACUACUUGGAUAACCGUGGUAAUUCUAGAGCUAAUACAUGCUAAAAAUCCCGACUUCGGAAGGGAUGUAUUUAUUAGAUUAAAAACCAAUGCCCUCUGGGCUCCUUGGUGAUUCAUGAUAACUCUUCGAAUCGCACGGCCUUGCGCCGGCGAUGGUUCAUUCAAAUUUCUUCCCUAUCAAUUUCGAUGUUUGGGUAUUGGCCAAACAUGGUUGCAACGGGUAACGGAGGGUUAGGGCUCGACCCCGGAGAAGGAGCCUGAGAAACGGCUACUACAUCCAAGGAAGGCAGCAGGCGCGCAAAUUACCCAAUCCCGAUUCGGGGAGGUAGUGACAAUAAAUACUGAUACAGGGCUCUUUUGGGUCUUGUAAUUGGAAUGAGUACAAUUUAAAUCCCUUAACGAGGAACAAUUGGAGGGCAAGUCUGGUGCCAGCAGCCGCGGUAAUUCCAGCUCCAAUAGCGUAUAUUAAAGUUGUUGUGGUUAAAAAGCUCGUAGUUGAACCUUGGGCCUGGCUGGCCGGUCCGCCUCACCGCGUGCACUGGUCCGGCCGGGUCUUUCCCUCUGUGGAACCCCAUGCUCUUCACUGGGCGUGGCGGGGAAACAGGACCUUUACUGUGAAAAAAUUAGAGUGCUUCAGGCAGGCCUAUGCUCGAAUACAUUAGCAUGGAAUAAUGAAAUAGGACGCGUGGUUCUAUUUUGUUGGUUUCUAGGACCGCCGUAAUGAUUAAUAGGGACAGUCGGGGGCAUCAGUAUUCAAUUGCUAGAGGUGAAAUUCUUGGAUUUAUUGAAGACUAACUACUGCGAAAGCAUUUGCCAAGGAUGUUUUCAUUAAUCAGGAACGAAAGUUAGGGGAUCGAAGACGAUCAGAUACCGUCGUAGUCUUAACCAUAAACUAUGCCGACUAGGGAUCGGACGAUGUUAUUUUUUGACGCGUUCGGCACCUUAACAGAAAAUCAAAGUGCUUGGGCUCCAGGGGGAGUAUGGUCGCAAGGCUGAAACUUAAAGAAAUUGACGGAAGGGCACCACCAGGGGUGGAGCCUGCGGCUUAAUUUGACUCAACACGGGGAAACUCACCAGGUCCAGACACAAUGAGGAUUGACAGAUUGAGAGCUCUUUCUUGAUUUUGUGGGUGGUGGUGCAUGGCCGUUCUUAGUUGGUGGAGUGAUUUGUCUGCUUAAUUGCGAUAACGAACGAGACCUUAACCUGCUAAAUAGCCCGUAUUGCUUUGGCAGUACGCCGGCUUCUUAGAGGGACUAUCGGCUCAAGCCGAUGGAAGUUUGAGGCAAUAACAGGUCUGUGAUGCAA